AGUGAACGCUGGCGGCGUGCUUAACACAUGCAAGUCGAACGAGAACGGGUUAUAGCUUGCUAUAAUUGUCAGCUAAGUGGCGCACGGGUGAGUAAUGUAUAGGUAAUAUGCCUCUUACUAAGGGAUAACAAAUGGAAACGUUUGCUAAUACCUUAUACUCCUUAUUAACAGAAGUUAAUAAGGGAAAGAUUUAUUGGUAAGAGAUUAGCCUGUAUUGUAUCAGUUAGUUGGUGGGGUAAUGGCUUACCAAGACUAUGACACAUAACUGGUUUGAGAGGAUGAUCAGUAACACUGGAACUGAGACACGGUCCAGACUCCUACGGGAGGCAGCAGUGGGGAAUAUUGCACAAUGGACGAGAGUCUGAUGCAGCAACGCCGCGUGGAGGAUGACACAUUUCGGUGCGUAAACUCCUUUUAUAUGAGAAGAUAAUGACGGUAUUAUAUGAAUAAGCACCGGCUAACUCCGUGCCAGCCGCCGCGGUAA
This 484-nucleotide ribosomal RNA is filed under the name uncultured bacterium. RNAcentral's name for it is "partial 16S ribosomal RNA". It matches the Rfam family "Bacterial small subunit ribosomal RNA", at positions 29 to 523 of the family's 1533-position model. The record is from RNAcentral.